Molecule: long non-coding RNA, 1898 nt
Organism: Serinus canaria (Common canary)
Lineage: Eukaryota; Metazoa; Chordata; Aves; Passeriformes; Fringillidae
Exons: 3
Source: RefSeq, a predicted model, not a curated record
ACCUCACAGGACACGCCUGGAUGUGCUGGUGGUGGUUCUGGAGGACUGGAAGCUGGCAAAGAGGUCUGGAAUCUCAUCUGGCGUGAAAGUUUGUCUUGGAAGACACUAAAAGACUUGGUCCUGAUCAGUGAAAGUUCCAUAAUACAGAUGAGAUUUCAGUGACUAGUCCUGGGAAUAAUAAAAAUCUGUUAAGAAGAAAGGAAUUCCUAUGCCAGAUAAAAAUGAGGAAGAACUUGGAAGGGCCAUUGCUGAUCACACAUGCUGGAGGAACUGGGAUCCAGGAUGAACUCCUGGAGCCUGUGCCAGGACCUGCUAACCUUUUCUUCCAAAUUUCAUCAAACAAAAGCCAGGGAAAAGUGCUCUGCUCUGGUCUGAAACAGCCUCUUAUGGAGAGAAACAAGACCAUGGCUAGACAAAAUCUCCCAUUUUCCCCAAAGAAACACUGCCUGAAUGCUCUCAUGGUUAUUCCACUGCAGAUGGAUAUUUCAUCUCCCAUUCUGCCUUACUAUGGCUCUCAAAAAAGAUCUUUCUGCUACUCAAGCAGGAGUGGAUGUUACAUGGAAAACAUGCAUUUUCAUUAAAAAACCCUCUACUUUCUGCUCCAGAGCCUCAGGAACUCACCUUCAGUGGCAUGAGAGGUGCAGAAAAGGCUUUGCCACGUGUUAUGCUUUUACAGUGUGCUGAUCCAUGGUCUCCUGUGCCCCACCCUCUGGCAGCUCAUCACUUUGUGCACCUGGCCAGCAUCAGGAGAAGAUUGUACUCUUACAAGACAAAGUUUUCAGCACCAAACCUUAAACUUUCUGGUUCUGCCAGGUAACAAUAUUUUUUGGACCAGUUUGCCCUGUCCUGCAUGGCCAUUGAGCCAUUGUGACACUUGCCCACACCACGGUCACAGCUGAUUUCUGACAGCAUGGCCAAGCCAAGGAUGGAGCCUGUGGGGAGGGAAGGUGGGUUUGCCCCAUCUCCUCCAUGGCUGGGUGCCACCCUGCUCCCUCCUGCAGCUGCUUUUGGGCACCUGCAGGUCCACAGAGCCUCACAGGAAGACAAACUGGGAUUCCACAUGGCACCAACCUAGCCCAGGCACUGCAGGCUUCUCCCAGGAGUUUCAGGGAUCCAGUGUUCUUCCUGCCAUGCCUCACUGAAGGGACAAAGCUGCCUGUGCCAGAGGUACCAAUGACUGCUGAUGCUCAGCCCCAAGCUGGUAAGUCUCUGCUGAGCUGCCUCAAUUAGAUUCUUCCAGGGGAGAUGUUAAUUCCCUUGUUAAAUUAAGGAAAGGAAAAGCAAACAACAACUAAACCCAAUAACAGGUAAACAAGCAGCUCCUGGAAUUUGCACCACAGGCAUUCAGAGGAGGCUUUCUGCCUUGAACCACACUGCUUGGAAAAUGCUGGGAAAUCUGAUGCCAGCCCUUAACUCAACGUGGUGUGUGUUUUUUCCUCUCCAGCAGCAGCAUGAGCUAAGGAUGAGGCAUUAGCCCUCCCUGUGAUCCCUGCAGUGUCAGUUCAAGUCAGAUUCUUCCCGUUAUUUAUAUGUUCCCUUUUGUGAGUGGAUCGAUUAUACAAGGGAGUUCUCAAGUGCCUGGGCACUCAACACAGCCACACAAUGGAGAAAAGUGUCCAGGUUAGCCUGGAAUUGCACAUGUGCUGAGCAUGCCAGGGGACAGGAGUAAAUAGUGACAUGCACAAUUCAGAGCCACCUCUUCAGAGCUUUCUGGUUUGCUGCACGCUGACUAAAAAAAAAAAAAAAAAAACUACAUUUCAAUUUCCAAGGUGUAGCAACCAAAGAUUGUCAGAGUUAUUCUUAGCCAUGGCAGAAUUGCCACCUUCAGGCCAUUUCUGAACACACGAGAUUAUUCCAUGAUAAUCCAAAAUCCAGCACAAGCUCCUCCCUCCCCUCUA